RNAcentral lists this long non-coding RNA (601 nucleotides) under Neodiprion lecontei (redheaded pine sawfly). RNAcentral's name for it is "uncharacterized LOC124293156". The record is from RNAcentral. Lineage: Eukaryota; Metazoa; Arthropoda; Insecta; Hymenoptera; Diprionidae.
AAAGUGACGUCACCCAAAAUUUUUUUUCUCUUGACGUCUUCAAUCUAUAGUGAUCAGCUAGCCGAAUUCCUCAGUCUGGAGACAACCGCGCGGUAGAGAGGACGUACGAGAAUCGCGCUCCGCAGAUUUCGAGUACCGGGUUCUCUAUCUCCUGGAUUCUGCGCUCCGGGUCCGUUUCGUGGUGCAACUCGAGUUCCAGGAGAAGCGCGCGGUAGUUUCCAUGCUCCAGGUCGGCUACCUGGUGAAACUCGACUUUUAGGACAAGCGCUACGUAGUUCUGGCUGUUCAGGUUCUUGACCUGGUGACUUUUGACCUUCCGGACUAAUUUUCAAGUUUACAAGUUUGAUUAUUGAAAACGUCAUGUUUUGUACAAUCAAACCAAAAUGCGUGUUUCAGAUAACACUUUGAAUCGGAAAAAACCGAACGACCAGGAUCAACAAAUUGCAAUUGACAAAAAUUACGCACUCCAUCUUUCCGGCCAAUUCGAGAUUCCAGCGACGAGGUGCUUCAAUGACCAACUAAUGACUUCCCCAUUUUGCGACAAUUGAUGGUAUAACCCGAGGUAGUUCGCGGUGGUUGCGGGUGAUCGAGGUGGGCGAGG